GCUUUUUUUGAGCGUGGACUUUUUUUAGAUGCUUUUAAUUGGAUGCGGGGCUGGCGGCGGGCGCCCAGCGGGCGAGGGAGCGCGGGGACAACGAGGGAGGAGCUAGGGCUAGACCUAGCUCCCCUGCUCCUCGAGGACGGAGGGGCUCUGGGGCUGCCGGCCGGAGGAGGAGCGGGGCGGCGACGCAGGCCGCGGCGGUGCCGGAGACCUCGGUCCCUUCGGUACCGGACUCGAGCCGGAGCUCCAGGGGCGGCGGCAGAGGACGUCGAAGACGGGGCGGCGGAGUGGCGGGCUCGAGCGGCAGCGCGGCGGCGGCCGAGACCAGCGGAGGUGGAGGCGAGGUCCGUUGGGAGCCAGCGGCCGAGCGACCUCGUGCUGCCGUCUGCUACCUACGGACCAACACACGCUGCCUACGUCAAGAGUGCGCGUUUGAUCCCAACCUCGGCGGUCGAGAAGUAGGACGGGCGGCCGCCGCUCAGAAGGGCAGGGCAUGACGGCGGAGGGGCAAUAGUGUCCAAGUAGACCAGGAAAUGAGGAGUGUAUUAUUGACACUUUGAAUUACUCCUUGAAGACUUUUUACGAGGGAGGGGAGACUACAGAUAAACCAAUGAAUACGAACACACCAGACCAACAAGGAUUCACGAAAGCCUGUAAUAAUAAACACACUAGUCGUAACUCAUCUAACGGACGUCGUUCUAUUGAACUCAAAAAAAAUGAAUUCAUUUGCUAUACAUUUAUCGAGAUUCAAUUGACCUGUAAAACAGCGUAACCGAACUUAGACGUACAACGUAGUAAACACGUGUUACUUUUGACAUACUUGGACGUAACCUACCACAUAAACAUCCUUCCAAUAGGAAAGAAGUUCCUGACCUUCAAAGGACCAUUCACAAGGAAAAAGAAUUUUUGAGACACAAACAAGCGACAUUAUAAAACAAAUGUAGUCCAAAGAGAAAGGAAAACACCCGUAUUACCCGCUCUGUUAUUAUAAGUCUUUCAACAACAAAAUCCCUUUGACGAUUGAGGUAUACAGUCUGGGUAUAGUAACAACUCGUACGUAUCACAAGGAUACAGUAAAGAUACUACAUAAACAAAGGAAAAUAUAGUGUCAUCAGAAGUAAAACCGGUACAUGGAAGUUUGACUUGGUUUUUACCAAACAGACUACUGUACAAACUCCUCUAAGAACUAUACUUUGUCAUCUAUACUCCCACUGGCAAAAAAAACGUUCAAAACAGGCACCUUAGAAAAACGUCAACUAUUCUGUACCCGACCUGAAUGAAGGCUAGACGUUAUAAAAGCCAUUUCACUAAGUUCCUUUGUUUGUAGGUGACACAGUUAGUGAGUUCUACCACGUACGUCAAAAGGACUUUCAAUUCAGACUCUCGGACGAGGAUGUAUUUCGACCCACUGCCCUGCUGCCGGUUAAAGACCCUCCUGUUUACCAACGGCCCACCCGCAAGGCAGAUUCUGGACCGUGGUUGUGACGAGUGAAAACACGGGUUCUCGUGUUGAUCAGUAGAUCCCAAACCUACCCCGACCCAAGGAUGUUGCUGCCGUUGUCUCCGCUGUUUGUGGUGAAACGUUGGAGCGGCUUGACACAACGACUUGACUUCACAUCCCUGUCGUCGUCAAAAUGGUGGCUACCACAACGUACAUUCGACCUACAAGAGUAACAAGACAACCGAGACUAGCCCUACACUCCAUGUUGAUAGUUUCACUGUAAUUAAAACCAACACUAAGGAUAGGCGUCGGAGAAGAUGUGAUCCGUGUACCUUCAAAUAGAAGUCUCUUCCUUUUGUGAGCUGCUAGACCGAGACAGAGUCCAUAUACGAGGGAGCGGGCGUUCUAGGAGAGAGAGGGUAGAUGCGUAGCGUUGUCGUGAAGUCGAGGAGAACACCUAAGAGUGGUCUAGUCCGGUGGAGUGAGUGGAAGUCAGACAGCACUACCUGUUUCAAUUCUAGGGUUGUUUUUCACGAAGAACUACGAUACUACGUCGUUGAAUUGGAAGGUUUAAUGUCAAAUGAUUUGUCUGGAGCGGCCGUCUAGGGAGUCGAUAGUCCCUUCCGUCAGUAGUCGCCUCUAACUCCCGCGGAGAGGCCGCUCUCACGAGUACAGCACCACCAAAAGGUGGUCGUCGCACCCCCUCCGCCACAGGAGACGUCGAUCCAGAUGAAUGACCGCUGGAGUGGUAGUGGUCGGGUGGACGUCCCAGAGUUUUCCAGACGACAAGGACCUACCACGCACACUAUCGACGUAUACUCCUACAUGCUUCCUAAACCGACGCUUGAGUUAGUCUGGUAACCUAACUUCGACUUCCCCCGUAACGUUUCUAUGCUUCCUUACCGGAAAGCAAGUAUUGGACCAGUCGAUGUGUUGUAGACCAGCAUGUACAAAGACAACGUCGCCGGGUCAAUGCACCUCUUCUUACCGUAUGCGACUCCUAACACAGUCGACUAAAAGAUUGAGUACAAAUCGAGUACCUAAGAGUAAAUAGAGAAGUUAAAUGUGUUCCUCCACGUAAUAGUCGAGAAUACAUAAAAGAAUUAUUGGCAACUAUCCUUACUGUUGAUACAACUCUACACCAUCUGGUAACUUACUGAAAACCAGGUCUUACUUUUUAUCUCCGUAUUAAUAACAUUAAAACAACGACGAUUAAAGAAAGUUUGCUUCGUACCGAAGAUUAGGUGU
RNAcentral lists this ribosomal RNA (2686 nucleotides) under Triticum aestivum (bread wheat). RNAcentral describes it as "partial small subunit ribosomal RNA". The record is from RNAcentral. Lineage: Eukaryota; Viridiplantae; Streptophyta; Magnoliopsida; Poales; Poaceae.